Molecule: transfer RNA, 86 nt
Filed under: Acholeplasmataceae bacterium
Lineage: Bacteria; Bacillati; Mycoplasmatota; Mollicutes; Acholeplasmatales; Acholeplasmataceae
Also listed under: 1 other name
Description: tRNA-Leu
Rfam family: tRNA
About the family: Transfer RNA (tRNA) molecules are approximately 80 nucleotides in length.
Source: RNAcentral
GCGGUGAUGGCGGAACUGGUAGACGCGCUACUUUGAGGGGGUAGUGUCCAUCGGACGUGUGGGUUCAAAUCCCAUUUACCGCACCA